This 650-nucleotide ribosomal RNA is filed under the name bacterium. RNAcentral's name for it is "bacterial SSU rRNA". It matches the Rfam family "Bacterial small subunit ribosomal RNA", at positions 78 to 691 of the family's 1533-position model. The record is from RNAcentral.
GGAGAAGAGGGCACUCUGCGAUUUGCUCUUAGCGCUCCUGCCACUCGGGAGUAGUAAGCGGGGAGCGGGAGAAAACACGUGGGUGACCUGCCCUCCACUUCGGGAUAAGCCUGGGAAACUGGGUCUAAUACCGGAUAGGACCAUUCCGCGCAUGUGGGGUGGUGGAAAGUUUUUUCGGUGGGGGAUGGGCCCGCGGUCUAUCAGCUUGUUGGUGGGGUGAUGGCCUACCAAGGCGACGACGGAUAGCCGGCCUGAGAGGGUGAUCGGCCACACUGGGACUGAGACACGGCCCAGACUCCUACGGGAGGCAGCAGUGGGGAAUCUUGCGCAAUGGGCGGAAGCCUGACGCAGCAACGCCGCGUGGGGGAUGACGGCCUUCGGGUUGUAAACCUCUUUCGCGAUCGACGAAGGUCCACUUUUUGUGGGUUGACGGUAGGUCGAGAAGAAGCACCGGCCAACUACGUGCCAGCAGCCGCGGUAAUACGUAGGGUGCGAGCGUUGUCCGGAAUUAUUGGGCGUAAAGAGCUCGUAGGCGGUGUGUCGCGUCGGCCGUGAAAACCUGGGGCUCAACUCUGGGCGUGCGGUCGAUACGGGCAUCACUUGAGUUCGGCAGGGGAGACUGGAAUUCCUGGUGUAGCGGUGAAAUGCGC